GACGAACGCUGGCGGCGUGCUUAACACAUGCAAGUCGAACGGAAAGGCCCUGCUUUUGUGGGGUGCUCGAGUGGCGAACGGGUGAGUAACACGUGAGUAACCUGCCCUUGACUUUGGGAUAACUUCAGGAAACUGGGGCUAAUACCGGAUAGGAGCUCCUGCUGCAUGGUGGGGGUUGGAAAGUUUCGGCGGUUGGGGAUGGACUCGCGGCUUAUCAGCUUGUUGGUGGGGUAGUGGCUUACCAAGGCUUUGACGGGUAGCCGGCCUGAGAGGGUGACCGGCCACAUUGGGACUGAGAUACGGCACAGACUCCUACGGGAGGCAGCAGUGGGGAAUAUUGCACAAUGGGCGGCAGCCUGAUGCAGCAACGCCGCGUGCGGGAUGACGGCCUUCGGGUUGUAAACCGCUUUCGCCUGUGACGAAGCGUGAGUGACGGUAAUGGGUAAAGAAGCACCGGCUAACUACGUG
Molecule: ribosomal RNA, 468 nt
Filed under: uncultured bacterium
Lineage: Bacteria
Description: partial 16S ribosomal RNA
Rfam family: Bacterial small subunit ribosomal RNA
Source: RNAcentral